GGCUUCUUCUUCUUUUUUCCUUUUUUAACCCCAGAAACUCACGCAAAAGAAUGACCGGAAAACUGUACGUCGGUCUAUCGAAGAACAGCAAAGGCUGCAGUAAGGAAAAUUCAGAAAAAUAUGGAAAAAUACGGGUUAGAAGCAUAGUGACACAAGCUUUCCACCAAGAGCAAGAUCACUCAAAACGGAUGUCGGACAGUGGAGAAAACUGAAAAACACUGUCCUGCAGCGACGCCAGAAAACGGAUGCAGAAGUUUCGAAGCUCCGAAAGUCCACCACAGAAGCGGAAUAUGAGGGUCAAAGUGAAGGACAAAGUCCUAGAUAUUUCCAGAUGCGCCUCGUCGUGAGCUUUCCAAAAAGUCAAAGAACGUCCAAAUCCGAGUUGGUAUGCAAAAGAUACGCCCGUUUUACUGAACACGGGUCAAGCCCAACCGAAACUAAAAUUCUCUCAACGUUGAUCCGAAACUGAUUCUUUCUCUCUCUUUUUUCGUUUAUUUUCUUUCUUUCUUUCCUUGUUUUUCCUUUCUUUUCUUUCCUUGCUUUUUUUUCAACUUUCCAAACAACUUGAUCUCUAAACAAAACUCAAUCUAUUAUGAAACACUUUCCAAAAGCACUCUUCAUUGAACUUGGACUCGAAAUAGGAGCGGACGGAAACUCUGAUACCACGUGAUAUGGGUGUGGGUGGCCCGAUCUUUCGAUGAGAUUGAUAACUCUUGAUUUGGGUAGGAGGUGACGUUGACAAUCCGACUACGACCUAGGAGACAGCGCCUUAGCAAUCGAUACACCAACUCCGGAGGGUUAUUGAUCACGCGGGGGCACGAUCAACCUAACCACGAAGGUCUUUGUUCCUGCAAGCAAUCGAAGAACAAGCAAGAACAAGAUAAAUAGCCGAUGCAAUGUGAAAUUGCGAGUAUACUAUAUCAAACCAAUGUCUCAACGAGACGAUAAGUUGGGG
RNAcentral lists this long non-coding RNA (955 nucleotides) under Brachypodium distachyon (stiff brome). RNAcentral describes it as "long non-coding RNA (BDIS_LNC003364)". Lineage: Eukaryota; Viridiplantae; Streptophyta; Magnoliopsida; Poales; Poaceae. The record is from RNAcentral.